This is a long non-coding RNA of Biomphalaria glabrata, 3225 nucleotides long. RefSeq lists it as uncharacterized. The record is from RefSeq and is a predicted model, not a curated record. The transcript has 4 exons. Lineage: Eukaryota; Metazoa; Mollusca; Gastropoda; Planorbidae.
UUUAAUUUUUUUAGUAAAUAUUCACAACUAUAUCUUUUAUAUAAUAAUAUAUUUUUUAAAUAAUAAUAUCUUUUAUAUAGACAUGCUUUAAUAGAUCUAAUAAAUGAUUAACGCGGCCCUACCAAUAUGGGUAUAUUAAUACUUAAAUCUGGGUAUUUUAAAUUUCGAAUGCGCAUUUUUAAAAAACCGAACUUAUCUAUAGAUCUCUUAUAUCUAUUACCGAUAUUUUUUAAAAAAUAACUCAACAGAUCUAAUAAAGUCAUGAUUUCCACUCUAUUUUCUCUAGAUCUAGACCAUACAUGAGAUCUAAAUCUAGACUUCACUUUCACAUCACAUGAUUAUUGAUACAGACAGUGAAUGAAACGAAUGCAGUGAUUAUAUUAUAGUUUAUACUGACUUAUAGCUCUACCAGUUGAUUAUCAUCAUCUCAGGUCAUCUCGAAUAAUAAUCUAGAUUAGUAUGUCAAUGUCUCUAUUAAAAUAAUUAAUAUCAUCAGCCAUAUAUCAUUUUAAAUAUUAAAAUAGUAGACAUAGAUUUCUAUAUUAUAAAUAGAUAGAUUAGAUCUAUAAAAUAUAAUUUUACAAACUUUAGAAAUGAUUGAUUUUAUUUUUAAUUGAUCAGCCUUCUAGACUAGAUAAUCUAGCAUCUCUAGCUAGACUCUAACCUGUAGUUUGUAGAUCUUGGAAUUGGAUCGAAAUUCACCUUCUAAAUUGUCUCCUCUGUAGCUGAUUUGAGAGGCCCAACGAGGCAAGAGUCUAUUACUAUUAGUACUCUGUCUCUUGAUCUAUCUAGUAGGCCUAUCUUAGCUAGUGCAUUAGCCUUAGCCAUAGUGUAGUCAAAUCUUGACAACUAGUCUUCUAGAUCUAAGCUUCUAGAAUAAUUAGAUCUAGAUCCAGUUUAGAUUUAGAAUAUAAAAGUAUUUUACUAGCUAAAAUACUAAAUCUACUGAUCUAAAUUCUAGAUAGAUAUACAAUAUAUAGAUCCAGUUUAGAUUUGGAAUAUAAAAAUAUUUACUAGCUAAAAUUCUAAAUCUACUGAUCUAUACUUAAUAUUUUAGAUAUUAUAUGACAUCUACAAAAAUUAUUAUUAAGAUAUAAUUAUAGAAUCUAGACUAGUUAUUUAUGUACAUAAAAUAUAUAAAUAAAAGAUAAAAUUUAUGCAGGCCUAGAUCCCAUAAAUUUAUAAUUGAUCCAGAUCUAUCAGUAAAAGUUACCUUCGAUGGGAAGUUUUACCCAAUCUAAUCUAUACAAUCCAUGCCUCGCCUACACCCCAUACAUUAAAUAAUAGUUCCCAUUCCAUGCCAUGCCCAGACCCAUGAGUUCAUGAAAUAAUAAAUGAUGUGGUGUCAAGUUGGAUCUAUCCCCUGAAAUUCAGCACUUUAAUAUAAAACUCUCAUAUCUAGUUAAUUAUUUGCUAUGACACUCUGAUCAACUUGGACUUGUGUGAUACAUAUAUGUUUCUUAUCAGAUUUAAUGAAUGAAGUUUUGGUGCAUUUUAAGGAUACAAAAGUAUCAUCAGGUGCAUUCUAACCAUUGGUAUUUUUCCUGGCAACAUUUCUAUUCUAGUCUGUGAUAAAUUAUAAAUUUAAAAAAAUGUUUGUAAUGUUUCAGUUAUUAACAAGUAGAACCAUGCCAACCAGUUCUGAUGAUGUACCAGAAUGGCUCAAGGAUCAUACUUAUACUAUUUCUACUCUCUGGGCAGACAUUAAUAAUAUUGGCAUCCAUUCAAUAUUUAUUUUAUGUUUGGAAAUGCAAGAAAAAGGCAUGCAUUCCUGACAAGUCAAUGAUUGGUUGCACCUCUUAAAGAUAACUUUCUGUUAUGAGAAAAGAUGAGAUUCUUGGACUCCUGCAUAGCACCACCAGAAAGGAAAAUCCCAUCAUGUUGCAAAAUAAAAGUCUUGGACCAAUUUUAAUUAAGAUAUAUAUAUUAUACUGUAAGCUCUAUACAUAUUUAUGUAUAUCCUGUCAUUCAGCCAACAGGUUUGGAUUUAGUAUUUCUUUAAAUCUGUUUGAUAUUGUACUUGAAAACUAUUAAUCUGAGCCCCAUUAAAACAAUUAGGAGUGCAGUGAAUGAGUGGUAAAGCACUUGGCUUCUGAACUGAGGGUUCCUGGGUUCAAUUAAGACUGGGGUUUUCAAUUUCAGAAUUCAAAAGGCUAGGGAUACAUGGCAAUAGUAAGGAAUAAGUAAAGGCAGUUUGGGGAUCCAUGGCUGAAUGGUUAAGUCAUGGGUUUGAAUCUCUGUGAAGACUCGGGUUAAAAUUUUUUUAGAUUUUUGGGUGCCCCUGAGUCCACCUAACUCUAAUGGGUAGCUGACUUUUGUUUUGGAAAGUAAAGAUGGUUGGUUGUUGUGCUGGCCACAUGAUGCACUGGUCAAAGAAUCAAAUGACCUUAACAUCAUCUGCCCUAUAGAUUGUGACGUCUGAAAUGGGAUUUUUUUUCAAAAGGUGGUUGGUUGUUGUGCUGGGUACAUGACACCCUCGCUAACCAUGGGGCACAGAAACUGAUAAACUUUAUAUAGAUUGCAAGAUAUGUAAGGGAAAUUUUACUUUUUUAAAAUUAAAAUAAGAAUCUAUCAAAAGUAAACAUAAAAUAUGGUGCAUUCUCCUUAAAACUAAAACCUGGUGCGAAGGUUUAAAAUGUUGGCUAAAAAAGCAACAUCAUAUAUUCUUAAUUCCCUUUGCAAAACUUACUGAGAAGAACAUGCAUGUUGUUCCCUCAUAAUUUUCUUGACAGAGGAAAUCUUGUUUAUAUUAGAUUUGAAUUAAGCAAAUUAAGAAAAAAAUUAUAAUUAUUAUUUCCAAUGGUUGUAUCUAAACCUUAUGAAUUAUUUUUCCGUUAUAAGUAUAUUGAGAUUAAUGGAUAAUCAUGAAAUUGUAAAAUAAUUGCUGCUAUCAUUCCAUUGACUAAAGAACCAUAAUUUAUUUUUUUUUAAAUUAAUUUCAAAAUGAUUUUUUUCAAGCAUAGAGUUCACAUAGAUCUUGAGUGAAUUUUUUUUUUUAUUUGACUAAUGCUUCAAUUUUAUUGUAUCAUAUUAGUUGUUAAUUUUUAUUACCCAGAAUAUUUAAAAAAUGAGUACACUAUUUUCAUGUAAUAAUUAACUUGGUAUUCACACAAUGCUCAAAAUACACCAUAAUCUUUAGGCCAUACAGAUUUGUAUAAAUUAACUUGUUUAAAUACAUUGUAAAUGUAUACUGUAUGGAUAAGAAUAAAGUUUUUCUGUAGACAA